RNAcentral lists this ribosomal RNA (478 nucleotides) under uncultured bacterium. Its description in RNAcentral is "partial 16S ribosomal RNA". It matches the Rfam family "Bacterial small subunit ribosomal RNA", at positions 28 to 507 of the family's 1533-position model. The record is from RNAcentral.
GAUGAACGCUGGCGGCGUGCUUAACACAUGCAGGUCGAACGGGAAACCUUUUAUUGAAGCUUCGGCAGAUUUAGCUGGUUUCUAGUGGCGGACGGGUGAGUAACGCGUGGGUAACCUGCCCUAUACAGGGGGAUAACAACCAGAAAUGGUUGCUAAUACCGCAUAAGCGCACAGGGCCGCAUGGUCCGGUGUGAAAAACUCCGGUGGUAUAGGAUGGACCCGCGUUGGAUUAGCCAGUUGGCAGGGUAACGGCCUACCAAAGCGACGAUCCAUAGCCGGCCUGAGAGGGUGAACGGCCACAUUGGGACUGAGACACGGCCCAGACUCCUACGGGAGGCAGCAGUGGGGAAUAUUGCACAAUGGGGGAAACCCUGAUGCAGCGACGCCGCGUGAAGGAAGAAGUAUCUCGGUAUGUAAACUUCUAUCAGCAGGGAAGAUAGUGACGGUACCUGACUAAGAAGCCCCGGCUAACUACGUG